AGGCAUGUGCUAAUAAAUUUAUUAUAAUAAUUAAAUCGGGACUUCGAAUUUGAAGUGACUCAGAGAGGAUGAACCGCUCGCCGCCUACAGAAAAUCAGAAAAAUAAUUAAACAUCAGAAUUAAUAAUUCGGAUUCGUGGUGUUUGUUCUGAGAGGACAACCGCUCGCAACACAGCUAAGGCAAUCCUUGAUAGUGAGGAUCGUCGCACAUUAAAUCAUUGCCAAGACAACACAAAUCUGAAUAUGAUUUUCAAUUUUUACAAUGCUUAAGACAUGCCGUGCCAGUAAGAUAAACCAACUCCAUCGAUUAGUAGCAAGAUAUCACCGUGCCGCAUCUUGACUACAUCGAUAUCGCGUAGAUGGAUCAUUACAACAAAGAAUAACGAACUGCUAUUCACGGGUAAAGUGAUAAAUAGUGAUUGCGAGAUUAAGUGGCUAACUCAACUCACACCGAUAGACGUCGAGGACAAGCUCAUCGCCCGACAACUUUCCACGAAAAGGAUCCACGAGGUGUGACGUCAUCCAACGUGCCUGCGUAAUUAAUCAGUGGAAAAUAAUCAACCACGUGGUGGAAAAUAUUCUACAGGAUUUUAGAAUAUAUCAAACAUGCCGUGCCGGUAGGAAAAAUCAACUUCGUCGAUUAGUAGCAAGAUAUCACCGUGCCGCAUCCUGACUACAUAUCGAUAUCGUGUAGACGGAUCAUUACGACAAAGAAUACGAACUGCUAUUCGCGGGUAAAGUGAUAAAUAGUGAUUGCGAAAUUAAGUGGCUAACUCAACUCACACCGAUAGACGUCGAAGACAAGCUCUACCGCCCGAUAACUUUCCACAAGAAGGAUCCACGAGGUACGACGUCAUCCAAUGUGCCUGCGUAAUUAAUCAGUGGAAAAUAAUCAACCACGUGGUGAAAAAUAUUCUACAGGAUUUUAGAAUAUAUCAAGUAAUAUUGAUGUCGUAUCUAAUAUUGUACAAUUAGCAUGUGCUGAUUCUGAUACUUGAUGGUGUACCAGCAACUUUUUAUAAGCACUUUCAAAUGAAACACUUGAUGGAUUACUAUUAAAUCCUCCACGACUUCGGAUUGCACUAAAAAAUGAUUCCAAAUGAUCCUG
Long non-coding RNA from Camponotus floridanus (Florida carpenter ant), 1107 nucleotides. RefSeq lists it as uncharacterized. Lineage: Eukaryota; Metazoa; Arthropoda; Insecta; Hymenoptera; Formicidae. The record is from RefSeq and is a predicted model, not a curated record. The transcript is spliced from 3 exons.